AAUAAAAUAAUGUUGUUUGUUUUUAGAUUCCCGGCUGUUAAGGGGGGUUUGCUCAAGGCAAAACCACAGUCCCCUCGAAUAACUUUAGAAGGAGAGUUAAGAAGACACACUAAUUGUGCCUGUCUGAGGUUUGCUCCUUCGAGGGCCCAGACACACCCCUUGCACACUGGUCUGGCCACCAGGGCUCCAGUGCCCACUGCUGAGUUGAUUCCAUUGGACAGGGCUCCUGCCCCUUUGGAAGAUGCUUGAUUUUGCUGUGAGCAGUUCUUAAGGGGAUUUAAAAAUGGACUAAGCUCUCGGAGCAGACUUGGGCAAGCACGCUGUAUAUGCUAUCUGUCUGUCCUACAGAAUGGAGAAAGGGAAACACAACUUAAUGAAAGAAGACUGAUUAUAACAUGCUCCUUACUUCCCAUCACCCCCUCCCCCAUCCUUUGCUACUUAGCCAAGCUCUUGCUCUGGUGUCUUAUUGGGCUGCUUUCAAAUGAGAAGGGGACAAGUAAUCCUGUGCCCCCCGCCCUGCCCCGGAGUUCUUUGGCCAGGAAGAACUCACUAAAUAUGAGUAUUACAUGCCAGGCAUGCUCUCAUUAAAUCCUUCACACGUCCCUUGAAGUAGGUACUAUUCUUUUCCCUGUGUCACAAAUGAGGAAACCAAGACUCAAGAGACGUUAAGUAUCUUGCUCAUGGUCUCAGCUAGCAAAUAAGAAUGCUAAGAUUUGAAUCCAGGUCUGAUGGCCCCCCAAGCCCUGUUCCAUAUGAGGAUUUCUCAAUAAAACUCAGUACAGGAAGUUUUUAUGAUAGUCUAUGCCCAGAAUUUCUUAUUGUCCCCUGGUUCUCAGUAUCAGAUGUAUCAUUCCUAGCUUAGAGUAGAAGGGAAGGGUGAUCUCAGAUUAUUUACCAUUGUAAGUGCAUUUGCUAUCAGAGAAUUCCACAGCCUGAGGACCUGGUGAAUCCUGACAAGCCUUUUGAGGUUCAUCUUAAACUAUUUUACAGCCUAUUAAAGUCAGUAAAGAGAGAAUUAAGGUAAACUUGAAGUAUUUGCCCCACCGGUUUAAAAUUGGAAGGUAACGUGGAAAAAGCAGAGAUAAAUUUACAAACUGUUACAGUGCAAUGUGAUAUGACGUGAACUGAAUUGGACCAUCUUAAAAAUCUCUACUAUAAUUAGAAAAUGACGUUCUUCAACAAAAGUUGGAAAUAAUGGAAAACCAACUUAAAAGUAAAUAUCUAUGGGUACUUGGCUUCAAAGUGUGUCUGGAGGGAAUGGAGACAGUUUACAGAAUGUGGGAUUUGCUGGAAUUACUUUUGGACAUAAAAUCUCCAUCACGCCUAAUGGUGGAAAAGCCUUACUCUAUUCCCAACAAGUUACCUGUUAUCCCUAAAGUUAAAGGCGGAUAUCUACCACUGCGUUUUGCUGCCCCCUCACCCAUUCUUAAAUAAAUGAAAGCAAAUUACUGACUAACCCACACCAAAAAUUUAUAGCAUUUUUUUUCCUGGACAAAAGGGAUAAAAUAUAUAUAUAUAUAUAAAAUAUACACAUACACAUAUAAAUACAUAUACAUGUGUGUGUGUAUAUAUGUAUAUGUGUAUUAAAAUGUCAUAUUCCUUUUUCAAAAGACUGAUAUAUUUCAAAAUGUGAAUUUCUGUUUUGAAGCAGAAUUUACCUAUGUAAGUUCUAAGUAUACAGAUAUGCUUUAUCAGUUUGAGAAUUUAUGGAGAAUUAGCCACUCCAUGUAAGAGGCUGCUUUUUUUCUGAUGACCUCUUCAUUUGGGCCAGCUCCAGUGUUAUAAAAAGCUUACACUCUGUUAGAGUAACAUAAGAAAUAAGAAAGAUUGGGGAUAGCGGAAAUUGAAACAGGCAUUCUUUUUUCUUCUGAAGACAGAAGUGAAGCGAUUGCCAAUGUUUGUUGAAUUUUAUUACAGUGAAAGCAGAGAUUUCUCCACACUUUCGGUCUCAGCCUUUGUCCAGCCUCACUAUGCAGUGUAUGUAUCACCUUCUGAACUAAAGAAGCAGUUCACACUUGACCUAGAACUUCAGGUUACCUGUGACCACUACUUAUAAAAAUCUUACUACUGGAUAUGCCAAAAGAAUUUCAUUGGUUGAAGAGAGAUAACAUGAAAUGGAAAGCCCAGAUCUCCAGAAAGAAAUGAAGAGAACCAGAAAAGAAAAAUGUGAAACUCCUGACCAAGCCCUCCCAGAAAGAACCACAAAAACAAAACAAAAAGCCCAAGAAGAUACAAAAGCGAAUCCUGAUAACAUAAAUUUUUCUCAUAUAAGCUUGCGGGAUCUUAGUUCCCUGACCAGGGACGGAACCCAGGCCCUCAGCAGUGAAAGCACAGAGUCCUAACCACUGGACCACCAGGGAAUUCCUGUGACCAACUGCUCACUUUUAAAAGCAACAGAGGGGCUUCCCGGGGGGCGCAGUGGUUGAGAGUCCGCCUGCCGAUUCAGGGGACGUGGGUUCGUGCCCCGGUCCAGGAGGAUCCCACAUGCCGCGGAGCGGCUGCACCCAUGAGCCAUGGCCGCUGAGCCUGCACGCACAUCCGGAGCCACACAAAAAAACGAAGUUCAUAAUAAAUUGCAUCAGUAAAUCUGGAUUCGAGCCACUGCUCUCUGCCAUCAUCUUAAAAGUCAUGGAGGACAACUGUACAUAAGAGGAGGGCAUGAUCAUGGGCGCACUGUGCUGGGACUCCCUGCAGCAGCUGCAGCCUCGGCUGGGACAGGAGAUGAGGCAGACGACUGUUAACGACUGUGACACCAGAGUCCCUUUCUGCAGCGCCCUUCUGGCUGAGUGUGAGGUCUCACAGGAAGGCACGUCUACCUGGGCUUGAAUGGAGCUCUCUCCAUUGGCAGUCACAGGAGUCACAGAACCUCUAUCAGGAGGUUCUUGACACCGAGGUGGACAGAGAAAGGCUGCCCCUCUCGACUCCACCUAAAGUAGGCAUCAUAGAGAUCUUUCCCAAAACUCUAUUAUACUUUCAGUUAAAAUUAUGAUGUGAUCAAAAGAGGGUUGUGGGGAGGUAAAUUAGAAUAUCCACCAAAUAUCCAAAUGUGAUAUUCAGAAUAUAAUGUCAUUGCUAUUCUCAUCCAACAUUUUUGAAUAGUCUUAAGGAGUAGGUAAUAAUAAUAUCAUACGGCAUGCACUACAUUUAACCAUAUCUCUAUAAAGAUUUCUCCUUCUUCCUAAUUGUCUAGGUCAAGGCCAAAAUUUUUAAUUUCUGAUCUGCAUUGUGAGUGGUAUUGAAAGCAAUACUCUUGUGGACAGGAGGGAAUACAGAAUUUGAGGGGCCCAGUGCAAAAUGGAAACAUGGAGUACCUUGUUGAAAAAUGUCUUAACAGUUGGAAGACAAUGACAACAGAGCAUUAAACCAAGCUCAGGGCUCCUCUGCACGGGGCCCUGCAAGAUGGCACAGGUGGGACAACCAUGAAGCCAGCCUCGCUCUGAAACAGGACCUUACGAAAGAUAGCCUGCUGCCCCCUCCUCCCUUCUCCUCAGCCUAACAGAGGUCUCAGUCAAGUAAACCAUGGGAGAAUGAAUGUGAGAUGUCCUCCGGUAGACAGACACCAGUUCUAUGUACUGGUCCCAAGGAAAAUGGAGCAACAGAGUGUCCUCUAAAAACUACCAUUUACUUCCUUAUACAGAUUGUAUUGUAAGGCUUAUCGAAAAGUGUUCCAUCUUCUUCCUAGAGGGUUCCACAAAGCAAGGUUUUCUAUCCAAAGGCCAGCGUGACCCUGGUGAUGGGCUCUGUUUUAAUGGGGCCUGGAGGACUAGUUUUGGAUACAGAUAAUGGUAGCACUGUCUCCUGGCAAUCUGAUCCUCAGUGACAUAUUUUUUCUUUCUCUGUAUUUUUUUCCUUUUAAAAUCACUUCCUGCUUAAACCCCUUCCCUCUCGUCAGUCGUGCACCAGCGUUGGAUUUGACCUCAAAUUCUAAAUGGGCCAGGUUGCCGUGAAGGCGCUCCACCUGGCUUUCUGCAGUGUAGGUGAUUAGGAAGGCUGGGGAAGCACUGUUUAGGGGGUGCCCUUCUAAGGACAGCUGUGCUCUGUCAGGUCUAGGUUUAGUGAACGAGACAAUAGUAAUUACAGUAAUGGCAGCAUUUGCCUAUGAGCUACCAUCUCUCCGAAGUGGGCUUCAGCUAAACUCAGCUGGAGGAGUUGUCUUUCCUUUUAGGAACGUGGAACCUCUACAGAGUUGGUCUUCAGAGACUUAGAACAGGCUAUAGAGGCAAGCAAAGAGAAACAGAAAAGGACCCCUCUAUUUCUCCCCCAAAAUACAUAUAAAUAUUUUUGUAAGGUAUUUACAAAUUUAAGAGAAAAACUAUACUUACAACAAAAUUAUCUUGUCAAGUCUCAGUUUUUCUGAGCUAUAGGUUACUUUUUAGGAUCAAACAAUACAGAAAGAACUGUUCAAACGUAUAAGCUUAUCCUGAUUUUCGGUCAUUCAGAAAAGGGCUCGAAGAUUAUAAUAUUACCUACUCUCAAUAAAAGAGCAUAUCCCCCCCAUUUUUUUUUUCCCCCUGGUAGUGAAUUUGUAGGGAUAAACAACCCUACAAAUUUUGGGGCCUAUUAUGUCACAGAGAUUUUUUUCUAUAGCCUGUCUAGACUCCAGACAAUAGAUGAGACUGGCCUAGAGUUGCAGACAUUUCCAUAGUCUGUAAUGUCCCUUAGAAAAGUAAGGGCAAUAAUACUAAAAUGAAAACCAGCCUGAUCUGCUGGCAUGAUAGGAGAAAUAUGAGUAUGACAACACUUUACAACUUAGAAAUGAUGACAACAACCUAGGAAGAAGUUUUAGCAGCCAUAUAUCAGCCAAAGCAACUUCUACAAAAUCAUACAUACUCCCCCAGUAUGAGUCAUAUUCAAGUAAUGUUGUCCAAUGGCUAUAAAAUCACCUUAUUGCAGAAAAUUCUGUGUAUAUGUUAUGUUGUAUUUUCUUAUUGCCUAGAGGUGGUGUGUGUGAAUGUAUAUUACAUAUAUAUGAAUAUAUGACCACAAAUCAUUUGUGGUCAGCAUACAGAUUUUUCAAAAUGCCUUACUUUAAAUAAACCAGAUUGUUAGACUAUUCUGCUUUUCAGCCCUCUUGGAUAAAACAAUUAAUGUUGCAUAUAAUCUUAAGAGAAUUAAGGGACGUUAUGUAUAAGCAAGGGAAGUGGAGAAAAGAGUUUUUAAAUUUCAUCUAUUUUCUACCAUUUCGUCUCUGAGCAUGUCUCCACAUACCUAUUUUCCCUCCUACAAUUGUACUUGUUCUAAACAAAGGAAAGGAGGAGAGAAACCUUUUGUUUCUUUAUAUUCUCCUUCUUUGCUACCUUUUAAAUUUUUAAAUAAAUGAACCAAUGUAGAAUAAGUGUUUUUGUUGCUUGGUUUUAUGAUGAUGAAGACCAUGAAAAAGAUGCACUGAUUUUAAAUAUUCAUUGAAGAAAAUAUUGCUUUAAAAAUAUUGGCAAUAUUUUUAAUUCAGAGGGUAUUCUCUUUCUCAAAGACUCCAAACUACGUCAGUAGUCACUGGACCAUUUGCAUCUUCACCACUGGGGAUGAAUAUUAACAGAGUCUUUGUCACUGUUAGAAUGACUCAGCUUAUGACAUCAGGAGUA
Orcinus orca (killer whale) is the source of this 5582-nucleotide long non-coding RNA. RefSeq lists it as uncharacterized. The transcript is spliced from 6 exons. The record is from RefSeq and is a predicted model, not a curated record. NCBI's taxonomy places the organism in Eukaryota, Metazoa, Chordata, Mammalia, Artiodactyla, Delphinidae.